AUACGGAGGGGGCUAGCGUUGUUCGGAAUUACUGGGCGUAAAGCGCGCGUAGGCGGUUUAUCAAGUCAGGCGUGAAAGCCCUGGGCUCAACCCAGGAACUGCGUUUGAUACUGGUUGACUAGAGGCCGGGAGAGGGUAGUGGAAUUCCCAGUGUAGAGGUGAAAUUCGUAGAUAUUGGGAAGAACACCGGUGGCGAAGGCGGCUACCUGGACCGGACCUGACGCUGAGGUGCGAAAGCGUGGGGAGCAAACAGGAUUAGAUACCCCGGUAGUCC
Molecule: ribosomal RNA, 274 nt
Filed under: uncultured bacterium
Lineage: Bacteria
Description: partial 16S ribosomal RNA
Rfam family: Bacterial small subunit ribosomal RNA
Source: RNAcentral